This 497-nucleotide ribosomal RNA is filed under the name uncultured bacterium. RNAcentral's name for it is "partial 16S ribosomal RNA". It matches the Rfam family "Bacterial small subunit ribosomal RNA", at positions 28 to 507 of the family's 1533-position model. The record is from RNAcentral.
GAUGAACGCUGGCGGCGUGCCUAAUACAUGCAAGUCGAGCGAACGGACGAGGAGCUUGCUCCUCUGACGUUAGCGGCGGACGGGUGAGUAACACGUGGAUAACCUACCUAUAAGACUGGGAUAACUUCGGGAAACCGGAGCUAAUACCGGAUAAUAUAUUGAACCGCAUGGUUCAAUAGUGAAAGACGGUUUUGCUGUCACUUAUAGAUGGAUCCGCGCCGCAUUAGCUAGUUGGUAAGGUAACGGCUUACCAAGGCGACGAUGCGUAGCCGACCUGAGAGGGUGAUCGGCCACACUGGAACUGAGACACGGUCCAGACUCCCACGGGAGGCAGCAGUAGGGAAUCUUCCGCAAUGGGCGAAAGCCUGACGGAGCAACGCCGCGUGAGUGAUGAAGGUCUUCGGAUCGUAAAACUCUGUUAUUAGGGAAGAACAAAUGUGUAAGUAACUAUGCACGUCUUGACGGUACCUAAUCAGAAAGCCACGGCUAACUACGUG